This 247-nucleotide long non-coding RNA is filed under the name Helianthus annuus (common sunflower). Its description in RNAcentral is "hypothetical non coding rna". Lineage: Eukaryota; Viridiplantae; Streptophyta; Magnoliopsida; Asterales; Asteraceae. The record is from RNAcentral.
UCGGUGAUCCAUCCUCAAACAAUCAAACUCUUCACGGAAUUACCAAGUGGAAGCUUGCAAAACCAUAACCUUGUAUACAAUAUGCCAUGUGGAUUCGAGUUGAUGAUGAUGCUAUGACGAAUCUAGUAUGGACGACUUAGAAACACGCUUGAUAUACUAGAUUUGAUUAUUAUGUUAUUUUAAACUUUGUCAUAUUUGUCUUUUCGUUGUUGUAAUUUGAAUUUCUUGUAUUGUACUUGACAAUUUU